GCAUAUCAAUAAGCGGAGGAAAAGAAACCAACAGGGAUUACCUCAGUAACGGCGAAGUGAAGCGGUAAAAGCUCAAAUUUGAAAUCUGGCUCUUUUAGAAGUCCGAAGUUGUAAUUUGUAGAAGAUGCUUCGGGUGUGGUUCCGGUCUAAGUUCCUUGGAACAGGACGUCAUAGAGGGUGAGAAUCCCGUAUGUGACUGGAUACCUAUGCUCAUGUGAAGCUCUUUCGACGAGUCGAGUUGUUUGGGAAUGCAGCUCAAAAUGGGUGGUAUAUUUCAUCUAAAGCUAAAUAUUGGCCAGAGACCGAUAGCGCACAAGUAGAGUGAUCGAAAGAUGAAAAGCACUUUGGAAAGAGAGUUAAACAGUACGUGAAAUUGUUGAAAGGGAAGCGCUUGCAAUCAGACUUGCACUUGGUGUUCAUCGGGGUUUCUACCCCGUGUACUUCAUCAAGUUCAGGCCAGCAUCAGUUUGGGUGGUUAGAUAAAGGCUUAGAGAAUGUGGCCCUCUUCGGGGGGUGUUAUAGCUCUAGGUGCAAUGUAGCCUACCUGGACUGAGGACCGCGCUUCGGCUAGGAUGCUGGCGUAAUGGUUGUAAGCGACCCGUCUUGAAACACGGACCAAGGAGUGUACCUAAUAUGCGAGUGUUUGGGUGUUAAACCCAUACGCGUAAUGAAAGUGAACGGAGGUGAGAGCCCUUAAGGGUGCAUCAUCGACCGAUCCUGAUGUCUUCGGAUGGAUUUGAGUAAGAGCAUAUUGGGUGCGACCCGAAAGAUGGUGAUCUAUACGUGAAUAGGGUGAAGCCAGAGGAAACUCUGGUGGAGGCUCGCAGCGGUUCUGACGUGCAAAUCGAUCGUCAAAUUUUGCGUAUAGGGGGCGAAAGACUAAUCGAACCAUCUAGUAGCUGGGUUCCUGCCGAA
This 915-nucleotide ribosomal RNA is filed under the name Monilinia laxa. Its description in RNAcentral is "LSU rRNA". It matches the Rfam family "Eukaryotic large subunit ribosomal RNA", at positions 38 to 965 of the family's 3401-position model. Lineage: Eukaryota; Fungi; Ascomycota; Leotiomycetes; Helotiales; Sclerotiniaceae. The record is from RNAcentral.